RNAcentral lists this ribosomal RNA (253 nucleotides) under uncultured bacterium. RNAcentral describes it as "partial 16S ribosomal RNA". It matches the Rfam family "Bacterial small subunit ribosomal RNA", at positions 524 to 776 of the family's 1533-position model. The record is from RNAcentral.
UACAGGGGGUGCAAACGUUGCUCGGAAUUAUUGGGCGUAAAGCGCGCGUAGGCGGCCACUUAAGUCGGAUGUGAAAGCCCCUGGCUCAACUGGGGAAGUGCACCCGAAACUGAGCGGCUUGAGUUCGGGAGAGGGAAGCGGAAUUCCGGGUGUAGCGGUGAAAUGCGUAGAUAUCCGGAGGAACACCGGUGGCGAAGGCGGCUUCCUGGACCGACACUGACGCUGAGGCGCGAAAGCUAGGGGAGCAAACGGG